Callorhinchus milii (elephant shark) is the source of this 455-nucleotide RNA transcript. RefSeq lists it as uncharacterized. The record is from RefSeq and is a predicted model, not a curated record. The transcript has 3 exons. NCBI's taxonomy places the organism in Eukaryota, Metazoa, Chordata, Chondrichthyes, Chimaeriformes, Callorhinchidae.
ACCAGAUUGUGGUGCAGAGAAGCCCCUCCUGAUCUCCAAACAAAAUAAAAUGUUUAUUAUGUUUCGGUCGACAAGGAAAUCAAGAGCAACUGGUUUCAGUGCUACAUAUAAAACACUUUCCUUCUGUGCGGCUAUGAUGACGAAUACCAAAGAUGAAAUAAGAUAUGGCCGUUUUUUGACCCUACCAUAUGACGACCAUUGUACUUGGGUUGUGUUGUCACCGAGAGCACAUUUGGUAGUCUGGAAAUUAACACAUUUCUUCAUUAAAGAAAGUGAAAACUGUGCAGACGGCUACCUGCGUGUUACUGAUACUUCUGGACCAACACCUAUCGUGAAAGGAACACUUUGUGGAAAAAUUGAAGUCCCAUUAAACAUAACCAGCUCUGGACGUACGCUGUUAUUUAACUACUUUCAGAAAGCACCAGGAAUUUCGAUUGGUUUUAGAAGUUCCUUUA